GACGAUCCACUCGCCAACCGGGUCAGGUCCGGAAGGAAGCAGCCCUAACGAGCCCGGAACGGGUC
This 65-nucleotide signal recognition particle RNA is filed under the name Mesorhizobium metallidurans STM 2683. RNAcentral's name for it is "SRP_bact". It matches the Rfam family "Bacterial small signal recognition particle RNA", at positions 16 to 75 of the family's 97-position model. Rfam says of the family: The signal recognition particle (SRP) is a universally conserved ribonucleoprotein involved in the co-translational targeting of proteins to membranes. Archaeal SRP consists of a 7S RNA and homologues of the eukaryotic SRP19 and SRP54 proteins. In most bacteria, the SRP consists of a 4.5S RNA and the Ffh protein (a homologue of the eukaryotic SRP54 protein). Lineage: Bacteria; Pseudomonadati; Pseudomonadota; Alphaproteobacteria; Hyphomicrobiales; Phyllobacteriaceae. The record is from RNAcentral.